RNAcentral lists this ribosomal RNA (440 nucleotides) under uncultured bacterium. RNAcentral describes it as "partial 16S ribosomal RNA". It matches the Rfam family "Bacterial small subunit ribosomal RNA", at positions 338 to 795 of the family's 1533-position model. The record is from RNAcentral.
CCUACGGGAGGCUGCAGUGGGGGCUAUUGCACAAUGGGGGGAACCCUGAUGCAGCGACGCCGCGUGGGUGCAGAAGCGCCUCGGCGCGUAAAGCCCUGUCAGCAGGGAAGAAAAUGACGGUACCUGAAGAAGAAGCCCCGGCUAACUACGUGCCAGCAGCCGCGGUAAUACGUAGGGGGCAAGCGGUAUCCGGAUUUACUGGGUGUAAAGGGGGCGCAGACGGCGAUGCAAGCCAGGAGUGAAAGCCCGGGGCCCAACCCCGGGACUGCACUUGGAACUGCGUGGCUGGAGUGCAGGAGGGGCAGGCGGAAUUCCUGGUGGAGCGGUGAAAUGCGUAGAUAUCAGGAGGAACUCCGAUUGCGAAGGCAGCAUACCGGCUCCAUACUGACGCUGAGGCACGAAAGCGUGGGGAUCGAACAGGAUUAGAUACCCGAGUAGUC